Molecule: ribosomal RNA, 774 nt
Filed under: uncultured Neocallimastigales
Lineage: Eukaryota; Fungi; Neocallimastigomycota; Neocallimastigomycetes; Neocallimastigales
Description: partial large subunit ribosomal RNA
Rfam family: Eukaryotic large subunit ribosomal RNA
Source: RNAcentral
UAUCUCUGUAGAGUCUGCAUAUCAAUAAGCGGAGGAAAAGAAACUAACAAGGAUUCCCCUAGUAACGGCGAGUGAAGCGGGAAGAGCUCAAAUUUGAAAUCUUCAAGGUUUGACCUUGACGAAUUGUAGUUUAAAGAAGUGUUUUCGGUUAGAGGAGUAGUAAAAGUUCUUUGGAAUAGGACAUCAUAGAGGGUGAGAAUCCCGUAUUUGGUCAUUCCUCCUAGCGUUGUGAUACACUUUCAACGAGUCGGAUUGUUUGGGAAUGCAGUCCAAAAUGGGUGGUAAAUUUCAUCUAAAGCUAAAUAUUGGCGAGAGACCGAUAGCGAAACAAGUACCGUGAGGGAAAGAUGAAAAGAACUUUGAAAAGAGAGUUAAACAGUACGUGAAAUUGUCAAAAGGGAAGCGUUUGACACCAGUGUUGUUUUUCCGAAAAUCAAUUAAAAAUUGAUUCAUGCCAGGUUGUAUUGACCUUAUCAGCUUGCAAUUUGGUUUUGGGUCUCUUUUUGAUGCACUUUUCGGUUAACAAGUCAACAUCAAUUUCCUUUGCUGUAAAAAGGUAAGAGGAAGGUGGCUUCAAUUUCGGUUGAAGUGUUUAUAGCCUUUUAUCUCUGCAGUCGGGGAGAUUGAGGUCUGCAGCGUAGAUCCUUCGGGGCUAGAUACAUUUAUGCUAAGUUAUAGCUUUUCAUAGACAACUUGUUGACUAUGUUUAGUCAUGUAGCUUACUCGUAAGUGCUAUUUUACCUACGCUUAGGAUGUUGAAGACUCUACAGAGAU